AAGGAUGAAAGGAGAGACGAGGAAGAACAGGGAGACUGAAAUUCUUUGAAAGGGGAUGGCGAAGGUUGUGCUGCUUUUCCGGGAGCACAAAACAGGCAGCAGGACUUGUGGCAGAUGGUAAAAUACAAUGAAAGUUUCUGGAAACUUUCCCAGUCCCUGGCAUAUUCAUCAGGAUUGCUGUAUUUCYUCUGCGGAAAAGAGAAUUGCCUGUUCCCAUGCAGAAGGCUAAAAUGGGAUCCUAGCGCCGUCUUUACAAACCAGCCUUGACGAGCUUGCUGCCUCGCCAUUCACCGCUGUGGAGCUGCAGGAAAGACCCCAUCGUGUCCUACAGCUGGCCCAUUCCUAGAGGGUAUCCUGUAAUCCCGGAUCCGUGGAGCUUUGGAGGAUGCAUGCCCUGCAGCCACGCUGGUGUGACGGGAGCAGGCCGAUGGCCCCCGGGCUGCUACAGAGCCAUCUUAGGGCACCCUG
This is a long non-coding RNA of Nothoprocta perdicaria, 468 nucleotides long. RefSeq lists it as uncharacterized. Lineage: Eukaryota; Metazoa; Chordata; Aves; Tinamiformes; Tinamidae. The record is from RefSeq and is a predicted model, not a curated record. The transcript is spliced from 3 exons.